Molecule: ribosomal RNA, 253 nt
Filed under: uncultured bacterium
Lineage: Bacteria
Description: partial 16S ribosomal RNA
Rfam family: Bacterial small subunit ribosomal RNA
Source: RNAcentral
UACGUAGGUGGCAAGCGUUAUCCGGAUUUACUGGGUGUAAAGGGCGAGUAGGCGGGAUUGCAAGUCAGAUGUGAAAACUAUGGGCUCAACCGAUAGAGUGCAUUUGAAACUGCAGUUCUUGAGUGAUGGAGAGGCAGGCGGAAUGCGUGGUGUAGCGGUGAAAUGCAUAGAUAUCACGCAGAACCCCGAUUGCGAAGGCAGCCUUCCGGCGCCCUACUGACGCUGAGGCACGAAAGUGCGGGGAUCGAACAGG